Molecule: long non-coding RNA, 8526 nt
Organism: Spodoptera frugiperda (fall armyworm)
Lineage: Eukaryota; Metazoa; Arthropoda; Insecta; Lepidoptera; Noctuidae
Exons: 2
Source: RefSeq, a predicted model, not a curated record
GUUAGUUGUUCAAUGAUAUCCGAUUGAGAUAGUUUCAAAGUAACAGGUAGCAGUACUUCUGUAUUGGUGUACGGCUAUCUGACAAGCUAUCUACAUUCAUACGAUACUUCGUGGAGGAGGCACACUGGAGAGCAGAGUGUGGACACGUCCUGGGAGGGAUCGUGUCGAGUGGAGCGGGACAGCCCCAUCAGUAAUGUUCACGCAGACUACAACUAGCCACUGGUCAAAUCUGACUGAGCGAGAGGGGCAGUAUGGUGGCAGGGAGCUGGGAGCACGGUGGAGGUGGCCGGGAGGGCGCAGCGUGUGACGUGACCUCCGCCGCGCGGUAAUAAUCCUCUCUUAUCCCCGAAUUUAUGUCACUAUAAUAUUAGUAGGUAUAAGGUGCGCUUUAAACAAUAAUUAUUGUAUUUACGAUACGUAUCUUAACAAUAAAAAGUCGAUAAGAGUAAUGCGUCGCGAUAUCUUAUCAAUUAGAGGCUUACUUGAGACAUCGAUCAUCGGUCUAAUUACCUGCGAUAAUAGUAAUCAUGGGAUAGCGCCUCACGUCCUCCUCCCGUGCCGCCCUGUCGCCCUGUAGCCCUCUCGCUCUGUCACUCUGUCGCCCUGUCGCUCUGUCACUCUGUCGCCCUGUCGCUCUGUCGCACGUUGCGUGUGAAGCCAGCAGGGAACGACGUGGUGUCACCUGUAGUCACAAACCGAACAGAUUCUAUUGUCCAAUAGACUCCGUGUAUUUGUACAACCAAACAAUAACUGGAAGAUGCGUUGAGACUGUCUUUAUAAAACUGCAUCACAAACGCUGGUUGGAGGUCGCAAAGGAGGUGUAAAUAGUUGAUCGCUGGCGCCCCCAGUCACAGGUACAAGUCCUUGUUCAUCAUGCGACUGUUAUGGCACCCGUGUGAUGAGUAUGGAUUGUGACAACAUUGUAAUUGACUCUGUACUAUACUGACGAUGAAACAUUGUCUAGGUAUUUAAAUAAUUUUUGAAAAAGUAAACAUACGUAGCAAUUCCUUUAGUCUCGACCUACCACGCAACACUUGUCCAAUUUUAUCAGGUUCAGAGUAGUUGGCCAUCCGCCGAAUACAUUACACCUUGCAGACUGUCACAAAUAUUGGAAUAUGCAGUUGAUGUUCAUUUUGAACGGACGCAAUCCAAUGUUAGUAACGUUUUACCAGAGAAUAUUACGUCACUAGCGACACGUCAGCACACAUUAGUUGGCGGAGCACAAAGUGUAAAUAAUACUAUAAUACUAUUAAUGAAUAGGUCGGUAAACAAUCCACGCCGCCCACACAAUUACGGAAUUCCUCUAGUGUUGUGGGUAGCCAUAACAUGCAGAUUGAUAUUAGGAAAUUGGAUAUUGAGGGGGGGGGGGGGGAAUAGUAAACCCCCAGUAAACUCAAUCGAACGGCGAAACAAAUUGUUAUUUCACGUCAAAUGCUUGCGCCGUGGUGUCACUCAGGUCGAGCCGCUGCAUUCAUAACCGAGGCACGUUAAGCAUGGGAUUAAUGACAGUGUUAGCAGCUACAACUUCACCGUAUAGCGUGAGCAUACGCUGAGGUUGCACUAGAGGAUGUGUCCUCAGUGUCAGUCACCUCAGUAGCCCGCAACAGCAGCCAGUGGGUUGGUAAGUAGUGUUGUGAUUAUUACAUAACGACUUCAUAGAGAACUAGCUCAAAGUCUAACUCCUGAGUGUAACGGCGGAUUCAGAAGUUACCAAAACACAUUGUAAGUCCGUUGGUGAAUAAGAAUGAUUUCCUACAUGAUUUACUUGCCUCACAACAUUCACGUGCACUCGCAUGCCCCGGCAGUGCACUGGGCGGUGGCACACAGGACUCGACUGCUUUAUAUGCAAUGCGAGGUAUGGGAUUGGAAUGGGGUUUCCCGCCUCCACGCUACUAAUGAUAACAUUGUUAGAAAAACCUGUUUACAUUACUUGUCCACCAGUAAAUGACCAAAAAUACACAGUAAUUAUAUUAUUUAUUGUUACAAUUAUUUAGAAGUUAAGAUCGCGUUCGUGGGUACAUAGUCUUUCGUAGCCGCGCGUAGUAGCGCGUAGUACUGCGUAGUAAUGCUACGAGCACCGUAGCCAAUAUUUUUUUUUUUUUUUUUUUUAUGGAAUAGGAGGCAAACGAGCAAACGAGUCACCUGAUGGUAAGCGAUCAGCGCCGCCCAUGGACACCCGCAACACCAGAGGAGUCACAGGUGCGUUGCCGGCCUUUGUUUUUUAAAAAGGAGUAUGCUCUUUUCUUGAAGGUUUGAAGGUCGUAUCGGUUCGGAAAUACCGCCGACGACAGCUCAUUCCACAGUUUUGCUGUGCGAGGCAGAAAGUUGCGCGAGAAGCGCACAGUUGUGGCCUGCCAACCAUCUAUAUGGUGGGGAUGGAAAUGCUGUCGUGUGGGUCGAUGGCGAAUAUUGCCACAUUAAAUUACACAACAGUAAAUACUUGCUGUGUUUGGUUUUUCUAUGACCUAGUUGUAUCUAUCAGGCAGGUACGAGUGCUCUAAUUCUAAAAAGAGGCAUUAAUGUUGGUAGAUGGAUGUUAUCAGUCCGAAAUAUAACAUUAUCUAAAUACCAACCAAAAAUAGUUUAUGUAAGUUCACCAUACUCAUGUAGCCAACGAUAAUUUGGCGAUGUAAGCAAACAACCGCAUGUAAGUGCUGGGAUGACGCGGCGCUGGCGAGCGCAUGACACACGCGCCUAAUACAGGCUUCGUGGUAAGCGGCCGUGACUCAGCGAGGACCUGCUGCGGCGCUGCUCUGUCGAGAACGUUCUAUGCACGAUCUCGUCACAGCUGUUGCGUUGGGUAUGCCGAAGUCCAGCUCGGAUUAGAGCCGACCAGGCGACCACCGACCUACGCAGUCUGCUAAGGUCUGUUAAGUCAGAGGUUAAGGAUUCUGCUUUGUGAAGACCAGGUUCCCUCCCAGCACCUACAUGUUGUGGUGCAAAGUGCAGUGCUCGCUCGCUGGCUGCAGCGCGGACUCGCGCGGCGCGGUGCGCGGUGGAGGAGCACACAGCGCUUGUCUUAUCUGCGCACUUGACGGCACUGAUAGUGGCUGCGUGCGUGUGUGUGUGCGUGUGUGUGUGUGUGUAGGUACGUGUGAUUACCUAUCGUGGUAUGUCGUCCUCGACGCUGAAUGAUUCAGCCGUUAUUGCUAGAUCACUUACUUAUUUGCGCAAUAACAAACCACCUUGUUAUUAUUGAACUGUGACUUUCACCUCUACAUGGGGUUUGAAAUUCAGGGCUUUAAAGAAGUCCUUACUUAGAGGGCAGCACCUCAGUCGUAACCCCCUGAAUCUGUACACACAGUAAUUAGUACCUGACUAAACCCGCAUCAGGUACAUUGAAUGUAUAGUUGAAGUCAACGCUACUAGAAUAUUGUCUGAAGUUUUGUUAGAGAGUCUAUUUAAUGGCACACUGCUGUAGCUCUCGGACAAUGAGUGGCCACAGAAACAGACUGAUGCGGAGCAGUACUGAUGAUCAUAUCUGAUAGUGGAAACUAUCCCGAACAACUGGUCACGAGAAUUAUGUAAGCAAAAGUCCUUGUAAAGAUAUGUUUAUUUUUUGUUAUACUUCAUACAUUCUCAAAUAAAAUUCUUGCCUCUAGGCUGUAGACCAGAUGCAGAUGGCUGUGCAAAGCUGAAAAUACUGUUAUGACGAAUGUUACGGUUUCUUGCUUACAAUCCAAGUAUUGCACUAGCUGUUGAUGCAGCAGGGCACGGUAUCUAGACAUCGAUUUGAACUCGGUUUGUUUGUCUCGUCCAACUACAGCGAGAUGCGAUCACCGAAUCUUGAGAGACGUCAAUUUGUCAAAACAUUAAUCUGACGGUGCUCGUAGCGAGCUGUCGAAGAUGAUUCACGUCGCGUGUCACACUGUGUCGCCGAGAUGUCGUUAUCUUGUCAAGACAGCGGCUGCUUAUGUAACCACGGAGCUGUACUUCGACACCUUGCUGAACUUACCAGCGCCACGCGCUGGUGCUGCAGGUACCGCUGGGGAACUUCUUCUAGUCUUACUGUAGCAGUAAUGAAAUACAACCAACCACGAAGUGGGCUACACAGAGCUAAGCACAGAGAACUAUGGAAAGCUUUAAGCCGAAUGGGGUCCGUGCAAAGUAAUUAAAUCAAGUAAUUAUCUAAAUAUAAAAUUAUAAAUUAGGUUUAUAUUAAUGUGAUAAUUUAAUUUCAGUAUUGUAAGAUACCUACAAAGUUACUAAUUGUUUUCAUUUGUUACGUAUUAUGAAUGGAAUUAAAUAAUUAAUAAUCAAUUAAAGCUGUAUUAUUAUUAUUUACAUAUUACAUUUUAAUACUACUUAUAAAAUAUAAGAAGUCGGGUAAAAAGGAGCCCACCAGUAGUUAAGCUACCGGUGGUUGAGGCUCCAGAGACACAGGAGGAGGUUUCCUCUAUCAGGCCCUUGAUCCAUGUGCCCAACGCCAGCCUCCCAAGGUGGUCGUCGAGGCUGUUUGUAUUGGCCGACACGACUAUCGGCACAAUGAUAGCCGAUUCCACAUUCCACAUGUCGACAGCCUCGUGAGCCAAGUCAACAUAGUCUAGUAUUGCUUAAUAUGGGUUAGAGCAGAGAGAGCACAGAGUGUGUCGCGGAGGCUCGCUAUCGCACCUGUCACGGACUCGUCAAUGUGGCAGAUAGCGGCUGGUUCUCACGCCGCCGCCGACUGGAGCACGAUCCUCGCAUCGAGCCGCACUGGCACACUAGCGCCCCCAGCACAGGCUCACAUCUCACAACUUCUGCACAAUGGUGCAGGUUCGAAAUCUCACAAUUAUCUAGCAACGUGACCUUUUUCGAGUUAUAUGUACCUACUAUUAUUCUAUAUGUCUAAGAAUAUUUAGACACCUAUGACAUACGGUGAAGGAAAACAUUAUAAGGAAACCCGAACUUAUAAUCUUAUAUUAUAAGCUUGAAAUCGCCAACCCCUCCUUGAGCGUUGAUGAAUCGCUCAAACCUUCUUCUGUGUGAGCAGUGGACACAUUAUAUCUACUGAUGACGAUGGUGGUGGUGAAUGGGUGUUCAUUUUUAUGUCGAAUGGUAUGGAAGUCGUUUCUAGUUUCUGUUGUGUUCAUCCGUUACAUACAAUAUUGGUAUGGUUCAAUUUCAAAGCGAGAGCUGAAGCAAGUUCCAAGCUCGACUGACUUCAGUAAGCUGACCCACUCACUGAACAUUCCUUACUUUACAUGUCGUCUGUUUCUGUGACGGAAUCUUGCAUACUAAUACUACUAAAAAAAUAAGUAUGAAGUGAGUGCUGGGUGGUUAUGUUGAGAAGAUGGCCCGAGAGUUGCACAAUGUGUCAGUAUGUGGGCCGCUUGCGACACGGGAGCGGAGGAGCGCGUCCGCGGCCGCCGCCCUGUAAUCCAAUCCCACAUACUUCCAUGGGAGGUGCGAUACUGGUAUCUAGCGUGUGUGUGUGUACAGUGCAUCGACCCCAUUGAUACACCACUUAGUAUCGCGCCUUUCUUUAGAUAUGCAAAUUGUUAUCUCGUUUAUCUUAACUAGGCGCUAAUGUGAGACCGGUUAUCUUAAAGUUUUGAUAAUCGUAUCUAACAGAUACUGUAUCUAGCUGAACAGCUGUUGUUACUACAUAGUAUGCAUGCGAGCCGGCGCGAUGCACGCGUGCGGCGGCCGGUCCGGUCCGUCGCCGGACAUCGCCGGCACUGCCAGUGCUGCAUGUAGUGGAAACUAAUGGCAGGGAAGUGAACCGACGCCGAGUGCCGCGGCCGGCUGCGACUCGGGCCGCGUUGUGCAAGCGAGGGGACGCCUGGGUGUGUUCGCGUGACGUGAUAACGUCGGCAAACAAGCGCCGAGCGACGAGCGCGGGCAAAUAUUUGUAGGGAACGUCGCCAAGUGCCGGCGCAGCGACACCCCGCGGCCGCGCGCCCCGCAGGAGCCUCGUAUCUGGAGCCGAGAUACCGCGAUACCAUCCCUGAUACCGAGUAAUUAUCAGAUAGAAGGCCUACAGAUUUGAUUAGGAGAGCACGCGCAUGCUGCUCAUUACAGUCGGCUCGGCGCCCGCGACCUGGCGCUCGGUAGGUGUCGCAGCGCUCGGUAGGUAGGUCGCCGUAAUCCCCGCUCCGGAUCUGAUAGCCGAUACAUCGACGGAUUAUUGAUGGGCGCCGCUCGACCUCAUCGCGAUCUUAUCAGUUGUUUUUUUCGUCGAAUAUUUUCCGUGAAAAGCUAAUAAAGAGCGGUGUCGCGGGGGCGCGGGCGGAGUGCGCGGGGAGACACGCACGUGACGCGAUGCUCGCUGAUAAGCCGCCAUAUUGUUUCAGUGUAUCACCCCCCGUCCCCCGCGCCCCGCGCCCCCUGAAGCACUCGUCGCCGUCGCUCCCUUUUGGCCACGAGCUCGCCUGGUGGCAAGUGAUGGCGGCCAGCCAGCGAUGGAAGCGAUGGAACACGUCCACAAGCAACCUAGUCAAUUGAACCUUGAACACAACCUUAAGACUUCCAGUCAUCGAUCUAUCUAUCAUAAAGUCCAUAUAUCUGUGGGCGUGGCAUUCACAAGGUCAAGUCUUGCAUAUCAUAAAGCUGCACGAUUGGGACUCAUCCAGUCGCCGCUCGCCAGCCACCACCAAACUUUCGCUAAAAACUAAGUGUGGGCCCAUUACUGCACCCACACUUGUUUCCAGUAAGGUAACGAAACACGGUUCCGAAUGGACUAGGUACGUGAAGUGAUAGCAAUAUUAUCCCUUGUCUCGGUUACCGUACAUUUUCUGUAGAUAGAUUUAAUAUAUAGUAUUUAGUUAAAAUAUAGUCUGCAUCAUAAAAAUAUAGUAUUUUGACAAAGCUGAUUUAUUACUGAGAACAGCCCACUAACAUUUUGCUGGAUUCGAAUUUCGAAUCCGAAAUCCCCCGUCCUGGACGUACACUUGUCACAAUUUAUAGUGUAGUAAGUAUUAUUGAGUCAAAUAUCGCUGAGUUGUGGAGAGUUUUUAUGAUAGAACAAUAACAUUGUAGAUGUCAUCAACAUCUACAAAAAAGUCGGCGACAUAUACCACACACAUCCAACUGUUUUAGAUUCUUCACUUUAACAACUUUUUCAAAAUAUUCGUAGCUCUGAAAAUGGGCAGGCCACGUCGAAGGACUGAUGACCAGCUGUAACGUGGGCAAACAUCCCACUAGAUGGACCGACAUAUCGAGAGAGUCGCGGGGAUGCAGGGGACGGCUUGUCGUUCUACGUGAAGGACUAAGACGACUGAUGAUGAACAACUUUUCAUCUGAUGGUGGGCUAUCAAAGCCGCCAUGACUGCGAUUUAAUUUUUAAAGUGCUUCAAAUGUGGGAACGUUUUAAGCAUGGUUAAGUAACGUAUUGUAAUAGGUUGCGCUUCUUAGACACCUACUGUACCUAGUAGAUAACUUUCAAUCAAACUCUUUGUAAAUAAGUACAGAGAAGAUUCGAAGUGAAUUACUUAUACAAUGUACACUUGCACGCUAUUAAACUCAUGACAAAGAAUGUAAGAAGUCAGUUAAAAAUACAUGUGUAUAUGACCCAAGUAUGUACCCGCGAGUGGCGCGUGACGUCACCGGCUCGGCACCGGACGCCCACAUCCUGGAGGCAGGCGGAGCGCUGCUGCUCUACUGCCCGCGGCCGGCGCAUGCCGUGCAGUACUCACACAGUGUAUGCUGCGCGUGGUAGCAGGGCUCUAGUUCACGGGACUACACGUCUGUUGGGGCAGAUGAGCAACCGGAGAGACAGACAGACUUGGUGACCAAUGACAAUUAGAACAUAGAUCAAACUCAAGUCACGCGGGGAAAGAGCAGGCAGAAGUCCCGAUUUGAAUGUGACGUGCUUGUGGCCUGUGGUCAUCGAGCUUGUGUAAUUGAUGAAGUGGUCUUUGGUCACAUGUGAACCAACACACACUUCACUACACUUUGGAACGAGCGCCUAGCUUCACUGACAGACAGACUGACGGACAAUUCAAUUUGACGUUUCAAAAGUGCCUUAUUUAGGAUUAAUUGAAAUAAAUGCUUUGACUUGACUUGACUUGAAAAAAACACAUUCGGUGGGGUUAUGUUGGAACUGUGGACCAACCUGUUGGAGCCAACGAGCGACGCGAGCGCACUGACGCAGUACAGUGUGGGAGGCAGCGCGAGGGAUGGGGUGCGAUACUGACGGACUGAUGAUGAUUCAACUGUUCUUUAUAAUGUGAGGAUGCCGCAUGUAUGAUGUCUACGUAUACAGGAUCAUUUGUUGUUGGAGUAAAAUCUCGUAUGAGGUUAUAGAACAGAUAAUUUUCAAUAAUUAUAAUUCACGAACAAUAAGGGAUAGAGUUAAUUUCCAAAUGGUCCACGCGGCAACUCUAAAACCGUUUAGAAAAUGUUAAUGUUUUUCUUAACAAAAGUACACGACGAGUGUCUUAGAUUUUAUUGGAGAAGCAUGCAUUUCUGAGCUCGACUUGAAACAAUCCUAUGGUAAAGUAACACUACUAUCGUUAAUGUGAUAAUUACAACUAGUACAUAAGCAAAUAAAGUAAGAUAUUUUUUUAAGCUUUAGAGUUGUUGUUUGGCGUGGAUCAUUUUGAA